RNAcentral lists this ribosomal RNA (254 nucleotides) under uncultured bacterium. Its description in RNAcentral is "partial 16S ribosomal RNA". It matches the Rfam family "Bacterial small subunit ribosomal RNA", at positions 524 to 776 of the family's 1533-position model. The record is from RNAcentral.
UACAGAGGUCUCAAGCGUUGUUCGGAUUCAUUGGGCGUAAAGGGUGCGUAGGUGGCGCCGUAAGUCAGGUGUGAAAUUUCGGAGCUUAACUCCGAAACUGCAUUUGAUACUGCGGUGCUUGAGGACUGGAGAGGAGACUGGAAUUCACGGUGUAGCAGUGAAAUGCGUAGAGAUCGUGAGGAAGACCAGUGGCGAAGGCGGGUCUCUGGGCAGUAACUGACGCUGAGGAGCGAAAGCGUGGGGGAGCGAACAGG